GAUGAACGCUGGCGGCGUGCCUAAUACAUGCAAGUCGAGCGAACAGACGAGGAGCUUGCUCCUCUGACGUUAGCGGCGGACGGGUGAGUAACACGUGGAUAACCUACCUAUAAGACUGGGAUAACUUCGGGAAACCGGAGCUAAUACCGGAUAAUAUAUUGAACCGCAUGGUUCAAUAGUGAAAGACGGUUCUGCUGUCACUUAUAGAUGGAUCCGCGCCGCAUUAGCUCGUUGGUAAGGUAACGGCUUACCAAGGCAACGAUGCGUAGCCGACCUGAGAGGGUGGUCGGCCACCCUGGAGCUGAGACACGGUCCAGACUCCUACGGGAGGCAGCAGUAGGGAAUCUUCCGCAAUGGGCGAAAGCCUGACGGAGCAACGCCGCGUGAGUGAUGAAGAUCUUCGGAUCGUAAAACUCUGUUAUUAGGGAAGAACAAAUGUGUAAGUAACUAUGCACGUCUUGACGGUACCGAAUCAGAAAGCCACGGCUAACUACGUG
RNAcentral lists this ribosomal RNA (497 nucleotides) under uncultured bacterium. Its description in RNAcentral is "partial 16S ribosomal RNA". It matches the Rfam family "Bacterial small subunit ribosomal RNA", at positions 28 to 507 of the family's 1533-position model. The record is from RNAcentral.